RNAcentral lists this long non-coding RNA (490 nucleotides) under Androctonus crassicauda. The record is from RNAcentral. Lineage: Eukaryota; Metazoa; Arthropoda; Arachnida; Scorpiones; Buthidae.
AUACCUGUUUACACUUUAUAUGGACCAAAAAACAAGCUACUUUGCAGCAAACUUGUACGAAAAUCAGAUAAAAAGCUAUUACUCACUAUCCAACAGUUUGUGAAAAAUUAAAAAAUGAUAAAUCUAAAUAUGACAGUGGGAAGAAUACAGGCAUUUACAUUAUCCCCCUACACAAUAAUGAUCUGGGUUAUGAUGAAAUAUAUAGGAGUCUCUUUUUGUAAUCUCAAAGAUCAUAUUGCCAAACAUAAGUGUGAAAUUCAUUUAGGAAAAAUUAAUACUGCAUUAAGUAAACAGUUCCUAGAGUACAGUCUUAAAAUAUUGACUGGGACAGAGCAAAGGUAGUAAGAUAUGCCAGUAUUCCUACUGAGAGAUUAAUGUUAUAUUCUCUUGAAAUUGCAAAAGUUAUGAAUGUCAUAAACAACAUCCAAGAUGUCAAGGUCCAAUCACAUGGAUUUAUUCAUGUCAAGAUAAAGCAUAUUAAUAUUCUUUU